Molecule: ribosomal RNA, 478 nt
Filed under: uncultured bacterium
Lineage: Bacteria
Description: partial 16S ribosomal RNA
Rfam family: Bacterial small subunit ribosomal RNA
Source: RNAcentral
GACGAACGCUGGCGGCGUGCUUAACACAUGCAAGUCGAACGGUAAGGCCCUUCGGGGUACACGAGUGGCGAACGGGUGAGUAACACGUUGGUGAUCUGCCCUGCACUUCGGGAUAAGCCUGGGAAACUGGGUCUAAUACCGGAUAGGACCACUGCCUGCAUGGGUGGUGGUGGAAAGCUUUUGCGGUGUGGGAUGGGCCCGCGGCCUAUCAGCUUGUUGGUGGGGUGAUGGCCUACCAAGGCGACGACGGGUAGCCGGCCUGGGAGGGUGACCGGCCACACUGGGACUGAGAUACGGCCCAGACUCCUACGGGAGGCAGCAGUGGGGAAUAUUGCACAAUGGGCGCAAGCCUGAUGCAGCGACGCUGCGCGAGGGAUGACGGCCUUCGGGUUGUAAACCUCUUUCAGCACCGACGAAGCGCAAGUGACGGUAGGUGCAGAAGAAGGACCGGCCAACUACGUGCCAGCAGCCGCCGUAA